CGAACGAGGUCCACCGCGUAGCAAUACAGGGAAGACCUAGUGGCGAACGGGUGCGUAACACGUGAGGAACCUUGUCCCGGUCUCUGGGAUAACAGUUGGAAACGACUGCUAAUACCGGAUGACGUCGGAGCAUCGCAUGGUGCGCUGACGAAAGGGUUACUGGAUCGGGAGAGCCUCGCGGCCUAUCAGCUUGUUGGUGGGGUAACGGCCUACCAAGGCAUCGACGGGUAGCUGGUCUGAGAGGAUGAUCAGCCACACUGGGACUGAGACACGGCCCAGACUCCUACGGGAGGCAGCAGUGGGGAAUCUUGGACAAUGGGCGAAAGCCUGAUCCAGCAAUGCCGCGUGAGUGAUGAAGGCCUUAGGGUUGUAAAGCUCUUUUACCAGGGAUGAUAAUGACAGUACCUGGAGAAUAAGCUCCGGCUAACUCCGUG
This 434-nucleotide ribosomal RNA is filed under the name uncultured bacterium. RNAcentral's name for it is "bacterial SSU rRNA". It matches the Rfam family "Bacterial small subunit ribosomal RNA", at positions 63 to 507 of the family's 1533-position model. The record is from RNAcentral.